UCUCUUUGGCGUGCGGGCAAGGCCUACACCGAAAUUGGGAACUUGUGUGCUUUCUGAUGGGCUUGGAGUCACUCCUGCAGACACCUACUCGAUCUGGGUGGAGGAGAGCAAAGAGCAAGGGUUUGGUGUCAGACAGCCGGGCUUGGAAACCCAACUCAGUCCUCCUGCAGCUCCGAGGAGCUGCGGAGAGCCUUGCUUCUCUCACCUGUAAAGCGGAGAUGCCAGUGCCUCCUCGGACUGGGCUCUGGCCAGGUAAGACUUCGGGUCAACCUCUUGCUAGGCUUCUGCCCUCUCUCUGCCAGACGACUGCUCACAUGCGAGGCUGCCAAUGUAGACGUGUUUCCGGGAGUGGCCCAAGGACCUUACCGCCCUGCCAGCCAGCCAGCCGCUUCCUAGCACUAACACGGUCCCUUGGCGUCCACGGGCAUUGCUGUGGGCAGCACACUGCUUAGAAACACUGAAGGGCCCAGACAGCGGCAAGCGGUGGAGGGUGAGACUCCAGUGAGACAGUGACUACAGAGGUUCCACGUACCACGACAGGUGCCCUUAAGUAAACCGGAGUGCAGGGGGCAUAGGAGUUUCGGAGAGGGAGAACCAAAGGACAGAAGGAAGACUGAGCUCCCACCUGGCCCUCGGUACACAACCGUAACUAACACAGGGGAUGACAGGGGGGGGAGGAAAUCUUUGGGCCCCAGCCAGGAAGUGGGGGAGACAACCAGGGAUGAGGGAGGAAAAAAGCCACCAAGCUCUACCUUGAGGUUCCAGAGGAGCCUCUGGAGCACAAGGACCUCUGGACCACCACAUCCACGAAUCGCCCGAGUGACGACAGAAACUCCAGAGGCCAGGAGGGACUGCACCUGGGACAGCUGCCAGUGCAGCAGCAACCACUGAGACCCUGGCUAGGUCCGAUUAUCCGUGCAAUUUUAAAUCUGGAAGCACAGACGUCACCGAGGGAACGGACACCUCUCACACACCACCUGUUGGUGCCUCCUCCGUCCUCGAGCCAGUCCGUGGCACUGUCUACGCAGGGUCCACGUUCUCUCUCCCGCGCCACCAGGUCUCUGGGAUGGUCCUGCUCAGAUAACCGCUCCCCACCACUCCACAGCUCACUCUGCUCCACCGGUGAUUCAGCGCGGGCCUCCUCUCCCUCUGGAUGUGGUCCCCGAAUCCUUGCUCAGGGUUCCUGGCCCCCAUGCGUUCCCCGAGCAUGCUGCACCUGCCUCCCAGUACUACUGGCACCUGUGUCUUCUUGUUGAAUCCCUCUCAGAACCACAAGCUCUUUCGGACCGGAAGUGACCCCUACUCCCUUUCGAACACUCAGCACCUACGAGUGCCUGGUCUGCAGGAAGGGCUCAGUGGCGAGUUAACGCUGCUGAAUGAAGAGGUAAGUGGAGAAGAGGUAGGGCUCAGCUUACGCCCCAUUCCAUCUCUGGAUAAAAUAGGAUCUGCGCUCUCUUACACUUGACGGCCCUUGAAGUAUCAUCUGAUGGUAGUUAUCAAGUUCUGCCCCCCAAGAACAUUCCAGAUAAAGGCAAACAUUCAGUUCCUUCCACACCUCCUCUAACACUCUGGCUUCUCAUCCUGUCUCCACUGGGCUCCCUCCUCUGAUGGCUCUCGUAUUUGUCAGGAGCCCUCCAUAGAGAAGGCAGUCAGAAUGGGACAUGUCUUCCCUCACAUUCCUACCCAAGUUUAGAAAACUGGGCGAUGGCUAACAUUGCAACAGAAAUCAGCAGCGGAGCCAGAAGUGGGAUCCAGAUGUUCAGGCCCCUGGGUCAGGCACACGGUACCUUACUCACAUUAACCAGUCGUGGAUUAGGAGCCCAAACCCAGUUCAUUUCCCUCCUGUACACUCAGGACCGUGUGCGGACUCCUUGCCUCGGUGAACGCGGGGAGAGCCAGAUGCCCAGGCAGCAGCUGGCUCUGCCGCUGGUUAGGGC
Molecule: long non-coding RNA, 1937 nt
Organism: Ailuropoda melanoleuca (giant panda)
Lineage: Eukaryota; Metazoa; Chordata; Mammalia; Carnivora; Ursidae
Exons: 3
Source: RefSeq, a predicted model, not a curated record